This 1978-nucleotide ribosomal RNA is filed under the name seawater metagenome. RNAcentral's name for it is "bacterial LSU rRNA". It matches the Rfam family "Bacterial large subunit ribosomal RNA", at positions 1 to 1976 of the family's 2925-position model. The record is from RNAcentral.
UCAAGCGCGAAAAGGGCGUUUGGUGAAUGCCUUGGCAGUAAGAGGCGAUGAAGGACGUGAUACUCUGCGAUAAGUUAUGGGGAGCUGAGAAUAAGCUUUGAUCCAUAAAUUUCCGAAUGGGGCAACCCACCUGAUACUUUGUUAUUAAUACUACUUAUUGUAGUGCCGUUUAAGGGUUCGCCCUUGGGUAGCGUUGCAUGCGGUGGGGCAUAAUAAUAGGGUAAACCAGGUAUUUAUAACUUGAAUACAUAGGGUUAUAAAAGCAAACCCGGGGAACUGAAACAUCUAAGUACCCGGAGGAAAGGACAUCAAUUAGAUACUCCCCUAGUAGCGGCGAGCGAACGGGGACCAGCCGAGCCAUGAGUGUGACUAGAAUGUGUUGGAAAGCACAACCAAAGUGGGUGACAGUCCCGUAUAGGAAGCAUGAUUGGACGUAUUAAGUAGGGCGGGACACGUGAAAUCCUGUUCGAAGAUCGGAGGACCACCUCCGAAGGCUAAGUACUCCUUACUGACCGAUAGUGAACCAGUACCGUGAGGGAAAGGUGAAAAGCACCCCGACGAGGGGAGUGAAACAGUUUCUGAAACCGGACGCCUACAAUCAGUUGGAGGGCCCUUGCGGCCUGACAGCGUACCUUUUGUAUAAUGGGUCAUCGACUUAGUGUAUCUAGCAAGCUUAAGCCGUUAGGUGUAGGCGCAGCGAAAGCGAGUCUUAAUAGGGCGAUUGAGUUAGAUGCAUUAGACCCGAAACCGAGUGAUCUAGGCAUGACCAGGUUGAAGGUUGGGUAACACCAACUGGAGGACCGAACCCACAUCUGUUGAAAAAGAUCGGGAUGAGUUGUGCCUAGGGGUGAAAGGCCAAUCAAACUCGGAGAUAGCUGGUUCUCCGCGAAAUCUAUUUAGGUAGAGCGUCAUCCGAAUACCCCGGGGGGUAGAGCACUGGAUGGGUAAUGGGGCCCCACAGGCUUACUGAUCCUAACCAAACUCCGAAUACCCGGGAGUAAUAGAUGGCAGACACACUGCGGGUGCUAACGCCCGUAGUGAAAAGGGAAACAACCCUGACCGACAGUUAAGGCCCCUAAUUCAUGGCUAAGUGGGAAAGCAGGUGGGACGACCAAAACAACCAGGAAGUUGGCUUAGAAGCAGCCAUCUUUUAAAGAUAGCGUAACAGCUCACUGGUCUAAUUAAGUUGUCCUGCGGCGAAGAUGUAACGGGGCUCAAGCCAUGAGCCGAAACUUCGGAUGCAUUUAAUGCAUGGUAGCGGAGCGUAGUGUGACAUAGUUCCAUGCGUCCUUCGUUUUAUAGCGGACUGCCCAGGCUUUCGAGCCUGUGUGGAGGCGCGUAAAAUACUGGACGCAAGGAGCUUUCUGUGAAGCCGGCCUGUGAGGGAUCCGGUGGAGAGAUCACUAGUGAGAAUGAUGACAUGAGUAACGACAAAGGGGGUGAGAGACCCCCUCGCCGAAAAUCCAAGGGUUCCUGCUUAAAGCUAAUCUGAGCAGGGUAAGCCGGCCCCUAAGCCGAGGGCGAAAGCCGUAGGCGAUGGGAACCAGGUUAAUAUUCCUGGGCCAGGAGGAAGUGACGGAUCACAAAGAUUGUUGGAUCAGGCGUAGUUGCCCCAGCAGUUCAGUGGUUCCUGGAAAUAGCCCUCCAUCAGACCGUACCCUAAACCGACACAGGUGGAUAGGUAGAGUAUACCAAGGCGCUUGAGAGAACUAUGUUGAAGGAACUCGGCAAAAUACCUCCGUAAGUUCGCGAGAAGGAGGCCCGGUUUCUAGGCAACUGGAAGCUGGGGGCACAAACCAGGGGGUGGCGACUGUUUACUAAAAACACAGGGCUCUGCGAAGUCGCAAGACGACGUAUAGGGUCUGACGCCUGCCCGGUGCCUGAAGGUUAAAAGGAGGGGUGAGAGCUCCGAAUUGAAGCCCAGGUAAACGGCGGCCGUAACUAUAACGGUCCUAAGGUAGCGAAAUUCCUUGUCGGG